GUGCCACCGCCGCGGUAAUACGGAGGGUGCAAGCGUUAAUCGGAAUUACUGGGCGUAAAGCGCACGCAGGCGGUCUGUCAAGUCGGAUGUGAAAUCCCCGGGCUCAACCUGGGAACUGCAUUCGAAACUGGCAGGCUAGAGUCUUGUAGAGGGGGGUAGAAUUCCAGGUGUAGCGGUGAAAUGCGUAGAGAUCUGGAGGAAUACCGGUGGCGAAGGCGGCCCCCUGGACAAAGACUGACGCUCAGGUGCGAAAGCGUGGGUAGCAAACAGGAUUAGAUACCCCAGUAGUCC
Molecule: ribosomal RNA, 291 nt
Filed under: uncultured prokaryote
Description: partial 16S ribosomal RNA
Rfam family: Bacterial small subunit ribosomal RNA
Source: RNAcentral